This 318-nucleotide ribosomal RNA is filed under the name uncultured bacterium. RNAcentral describes it as "bacterial SSU rRNA". It matches the Rfam family "Bacterial small subunit ribosomal RNA", at positions 28 to 334 of the family's 1533-position model. The record is from RNAcentral.
GAUGAACGCUAGCGGCAGGCUUAACACAUGCAAGUCGAGGGGCAGCAUGAGACGGAGAUUCGUCGAAGUCUUGAUGGCGACCGGCGCAAGGGUGCGUAACGCGUGAGCAACUUGCCCGUUUCUGGGGAAUAACCGGUGGAAACGCCGACUAAUACCCCAUAGCAUUGACUUUGGGCAUCCUUAGUCAAUUAAAGAAUUUCGGAAACGGAUAGGCUCGCGUGACAUUAGCUAGAUGGCGGGGUAACGGCCCACCAUGGCUACGAUGUCUAGGGGUUCUGAGAGGAAGGUCCCCCACACUGGAACUGAGACACGGUCCAG